RNAcentral lists this long non-coding RNA (582 nucleotides) under Callithrix jacchus (white-tufted-ear marmoset). RNAcentral describes it as "lncRNA (ENSCJAG00000066391.2)". Lineage: Eukaryota; Metazoa; Chordata; Mammalia; Primates; Cebidae. The record is from RNAcentral.
GGCAGCUUUCACCAAUGUUUAUAAAGAAGACAAAAUCUAUUUACAUUUUUCCAAAUUCUUUAUGAUCUUUCUCAAUUACACAUACAUUCAUCUCCAUUUAUUAGAGAAGAGUGGUUUAUAUUAGAUAGAAAUAGACCGAUGGAGAGAAGAAAGACGGAGAAAUCAGUGCACCACUCUACAACAGAUGGGAUUUGCUGAGAUAUCUUUAUCAUUGAGUAGAAGAUAUUAUUUAAGUCGUUAUGCUCAACUUGAAUGGAAGAGAUUUACAAAUUUUCUUAUGCUGGGGUAACUGUUUUUCCAAAGACUAAAUAUUUUAGUAAAUCAGAGUUUUGUUGCCUGCACAUCUAUUAAUUUGUUCCUGGUGUACUGUGUUGUGUGUGUGUAUAGUGAGAAGGGGAAAUGAAGACAGAGGAGGGAAGCUGCUCCUCCACUCUGCCUCAAGCUCGUGCAGAACUAUUUCCUCCAUGGACCCAGCUCCCAUCCAGGCUCUUUCCCGUGGCCCUGUGGCUUGUCUCUGACAACAGCAACUUGUUCUCAUGUCUCCUCAGUCGUAGGAAAGUGAAUAAGCAGAAUUUCUAUUGA